AUGCUCCGCAGACUGGCCCGAGCGGCGGCCCCGGUACAUGGGGCGCUCCGGGCGGGGUCUGGGAGCGCGGGGGUCGCAGCCCACGUGGUGGGCCUGCGCAGCGACAAGGUGACCGGGCCCGGGCCGGCCAUGAGGCACGUCAUGGCCGAUGCGGUCGUGGGGGACGACGACUACGGCGAAGACCGGCGUGCAGGCCGGGGAGCUGCAAGAAAUGGCUUUGGAGCUGCUAGGGCUGGGGCGCACCCUCUUUGUGCCCUCCAACACUAUGGCCAACCUCAUCUCUGUGAUGUGUCACUGCUGGCGCCGGGGCUCCCAGCUCCUCCUUGGGCAGGAGUGCCACCUCCACGUCUUUGAGCAGGGUGGGGUGGCUCAGAGGGCUGGAGUGCACUCCCACUCCCUCCCAGAGCUGCCCCACUGCACCCUGGACUGGCUGAGCUGGAGAGGAUGAUCACGCGGGACCUCCAGAGCCCCUACCACCAGGUCUGCGAGCUCAUUUGCCUGGAGAACUCACACAGCAUCUCGGGGGUCCGGAUCCUCCCCAUCAACUACCUACGCCAGGUGCACCUCCUGGCCCAGACCUAUGGGGCCUGGGUCCACCUGGACGGGGCCCAGCUGAUGAACGUGGCGCUGGCCCUGCAUGUCCCGCCCACCCACAUUGUGGAGCACUGUGACUCUGUGUCUUUCUGCCUCUCCAAGGGCCUGGGCGCCCCAGUGGGGUCCCUGGCUGGGAGGCCCAAGGACUUCAUUGAAGAAGCCUGGUGCCUCCAAAAAGCCCUGGGCGGAAGCGUGCACCAGGUGGGGAUGCUGGCUGCAGUGGCCCUGGUGGGACUGGUUGACACAAAGCAGGCACUGUGGCAAGACCAUGGGAACGCCCAGAGAUUCACCAAAGGACUCCAGGAGCCGGUGUCGUCCGUCUGCUCAGUUGAUCCCACCUUCGUGGAGACGAACAUGGUGGUGGUGAGCAUGGCUGGCUUGUGGGCCGUGAGUGCCGCUGUUCCUAUGGACAGAGCAGUCCGUGCUUCCGUGUGGCACCGCGACGUCUCGGUGUAGGACACUGAACUGGUGCUGAGGAAGUGGGAGUUUGUGCUGAGGCCACUGGAGUCCUGA
This 1107-nucleotide small RNA is filed under the name Pan troglodytes (chimpanzee). Its description in RNAcentral is "unitary pseudogene". Lineage: Eukaryota; Metazoa; Chordata; Mammalia; Primates; Hominidae. The record is from RNAcentral.